RNAcentral lists this ribosomal RNA (494 nucleotides) under uncultured bacterium. RNAcentral's name for it is "partial 16S ribosomal RNA". It matches the Rfam family "Bacterial small subunit ribosomal RNA", at positions 28 to 507 of the family's 1533-position model. The record is from RNAcentral.
GACGAACGCUGGCGGCGUGCUUAACACAUGCAAGUCGAACGGAAAGGCCUGCUUUCCCUUGUGGAUUGCGGGUACUCGAGUGGCGAACGGGUGAGUAACACGUGAGUGAUCUGCCCCCAACUUGGGUAUAAGCCUGGGAAACUGGGUCUAAUUCCCGAUAGGACUGCAGGGUGGUGCCUGUGGUGGAAAACGAUUUUCUAGUGGUUGGGGAUGAGCACGCGGCCUAUCAGCUUGUUGGUGGGGUAAUGGCCUACCAAGGCGGCGACGGGUAGCCGGCCUGAGAGGGUGGACGGCCACAUUGGGACUGAGAUACGGCCCAGACUCCUACGGGAGGCAGCAGUGGGGAAUAUUGCACAAUGGGCGGAAGCCUGAUGCAGCGACGCCGCGUGGGGGAUGACGGCCUUCGGGUUGUAAACUCCUUUCGACCGCGAGGAAGCCACCUGGUUGGAAGGGUGGUGACGGUAGUGGUAGAAGAAGCACCGGCUAACUACGUG